ACGCAUCCGUGCACCGACGUCGUCCACGGGCCCUCGCAACGCCGCUCACAGUCCCGCUCCCGCCCGCCAGACUUCCUUCACGACAAAAAGGUACCCCGCCGCCGCAUGCCCGCCAGCGCGCGCAAGAGGGACAAGGUGCCAGCGCCGGGCGCCAAGGGGGAGAAGUCCACCUGCUUCUACACAAAGAAGAAGUGGAAGUCGGUGCUGCACGAGACGCGGGUCGACCUCGCCGGCCGCGCCCUUGGGCCACGUGGCGCCCUCAUUGUUGGUACAGCCCUCUUCAAGAACACGUACGUCACCUCGCUCGAUCUGAGUCAGAACGAACUAGGCGAUGGCGGCGCGAUCGCGAUCGCCAGCAUGCUGCGCUUCAACACCCAGUUACAGCACUUGAACUUGUCGCACAACGACAUGACAGACAUCGGCGGCAUCGCACUGGCGAGUGCGUUCAUCCCGAAUGUGAGUCCGUCUGGCCAGCCCGGUCAGUGGAACCGCACGCUGUUUAGCCUCGUUCUCAUGGGCAACAAGUUCGGCGAUGACACCCUCCUUGCCAUGAGCAACGCCGCGGCCUGCCACCGCGACUUGACCCGCGUGGACCUCUCGUGGAACAACGUUGGACAAAACGGUACGAAGUGCCUCAUGCGCGCCUACCAGCGCAACCCCCUGUGUGUGUACCAACUAGCCGCCAACGCGCUCGGUGACGAGGGCACCGUGUACCUGUGUGAGGCGUUGCAGCGCUACGGCGGCAAGAGCCAGACAACGCUGAACCUUUACCGGAACUCCAUCAGCUGCCCCGGCACCGAAGCAGUUGGCCGACUUCUGGCGAAUUCCUCCAUCGUGCAGGACGUGAGCCUCGCCGGCAACACGAUCGGCUUCAAGGGUGUGCAGGCACUGCAGCGUCAGUUGACGGACGCCGCCGUGAUCGCCAGCUGCUCCUUGCGCAUCCUCAACCUCAGCGACAACUGGAUUGGCGAUGAGGGGGCGGCGAGCGUAGCGGCCAUCAUCAAGGCCAAUAUCCCCUCGCUCGAGCGCCUCGACGUGUCCGAAAACAAAAUCACCGACGUCGGCGCCACCGCCAUUGUCACGGCGGCGCUGCAGAACACGCAUCUGCUUCUACUGAACUGCGAGGCAAACUGCCUUGGCUCCAAGGCAGUAGACGCGGUGGUACGGCUUAUCCAUGAGACGCGCACGCUCACAUCGCUCAACGUGGCCGGCUGCGUCAACUCGGCUGAUCACCGGCGCACGCUGGCCAUCGCGGUGGGUGAGACCGACGGGCUGCACGUUGAGCUAGGCCCGAAUCCGGAAGAUGCGGCUGGUGCCGAGGGCACGGUCCUAAUAGAGAAGAUCACGGAGCACCUGCAGAUGUUGGCGGACCAAGAGGCGCAGCGGCAGAAGGAAAGCAUGGCUGCGAAGAAGCUGAAAAAGGCCCGCUAGCGGUGGAGGAGGGCGAGGAGGUCGGUGUCGGUGUCGGUGUUGCCGAUGGGCAGCAGCAGCAGCCGAGAGAGACGGUCGAUCCCCCUCCCCUUCUUGCCAUGCUGCGGAGGAGGAUGCGGAUGGGCAUGACGCCCCCCUCCUUCUCCUCCUCCCUUGCCGUUUCUUUUUAUGUCCCCUGUCACCGUUCUGUUCCCUUUGAGAUGUAAGCUACACUUCAACCUGAAAAGAAGGGGCACAAGAGGCGAGUGCCGCGCCCGCACCGUGCACCAGCGACCACCUCCUCCUCUACUGCUAGCGCUCUCCUUCUAUCUGUGUGUGUGUGUGUGUGUGAGGAUGUGCGAUGUAUGGCCCCACCCCAAGAGACAAUGGCGGAUUGGGAGGGAGGGAGGGGAGGCCGGCGGUAUGUCUAGUGCUGAUGUUUCAAAAUGGCGCGAAAGAGGGCGGACUGGGCGAGACAGAGCGCGCGUCUGCUCGCACUGUUUCGGUUCUGUUUCAGGUAUUUGGCAAGAAGGAGGAAAGUGAAGCCACGCAUUGCCAUCAUCAUCUUCGUGCCACGCUCAAGGGCGCGCAGGCAAGGCAGCGUGCGCGUGCGCGCAAGAGGCGCUUGUGUGGUUCACUGCUGCAGCCAUCUGCGUUCCGAGCCGUCUACAGCAUCAUCAUCGGUGUCGUGUUCUUGGAAUGAUGUCUCCGUUUUCAUCCUCCUCUCUCUCCGCCGUUUCCGUGUGGUCGACUUCGUGCUGCGAGAGCGGAAG
Molecule: unclassified non-coding RNA, 2183 nt
Filed under: Leishmania donovani
Lineage: Eukaryota; Euglenozoa; Kinetoplastea; Trypanosomatida; Trypanosomatidae
Description: gene:LdHU3.05.0190(CDS-product:Leucine_Rich_repea t/Leucine_rich_repeat/Leucine_Rich_Repeat_putative)
Source: RNAcentral